AUGAAGACCCAGAGAAACGUUCCUGUGAGCAAGUUCCCAGUAGUAUGGCCAGCUCCCCAUGCUCUUCCUGGCAGUAAGCCAGCAAGUGGGCCUCCAGCGGAAACCGUCCAAGGAGCUCCAGCUGUCUCCUGGUGUUAUUUUUGGAUACUUGUGAUAUCUACUUCAGUGGUGGUUGUCCCUCUCAGUCAGUGUGGUGGCUCGUCUCCACAACAACCCUUGGAAAUGCUGUCUUUCUGUGAUGCUGGGGAUGGUGCCCAGGGUUUCACACAUGUUAAACAAGGAUUGUAACAUGGAGCCAUACCCCAGCAUUUGGAGAUAUUGACUUGGUGACGAAGAAAGAGCACCCCAGAGCAAAGUAUGAGGUUCCUUUCCUGAACCACAGAUUAUACUGGUCCCUGGUUUAGUGGUGGGGAAUCUCAGUUCUUCAUUGCAGUAGUUGAAGACCAGCUCCAGACCUCAGCCAGAUGGCACAUCCAACCUCAGGUAAGUGAAUCAGGUCUCUCUGAGUCAACAAACUAUUUUUUUUUCUGUUUCCGUGGAGCCUCCAAAUGUCUAACAUUACCCUAGGACCAGGGCUGCCUGUGGGACUCGCAGGAUCACUGGGCAUGGCCUGAAGUCACCGACAUCCUGUUGUUUUGUUACAUCAAGAACCGUUUGUAUUGUGACCAUAAAUCUGCAUCUCAGAUACUCUUACUCACUCUACCAAAGGGGAGUCAUAGAAACAGAUUGUUUCUUCCGCAAACACCAUUUAUCUGCAGGUUAAAAGGCAUGCUGCUAACAGAAUGGUUAGCAAUAUUGAUCAUGCAUUUUGCAGCAGGAGAUUAGGAAGUCAUAAACAUGUUUACGUUUUGCCGGUAGUUUAAGCCAUCAAGAUUCUGUCCAGAGUAGCUAGCACACAAGGGUGGUGCUUGCAGAUCUUGUCUGAGUCUCCAGCUAAUCUUUUUCUUCAGAGGUGCAGGGAUGAAAGCUGGUCACUGGCCAGAGGGUUUGAAUCCAGAGCUCUGCUUCGAGAACACUAGUGAUUUUUACCCACACCUCUCUGUCUUUGUGUACUUUAUCUAAAGCAUGAGUAAGUUCCCACUGUAGCCUGGCCUGACCCUGUUCUUUUUAAAUAAGCCAGAAGCUGCAGGUCUUUAAAAGUGCCUCUCAUCUGGGUGUGGUGGUACAGUGGUGCAGUCCCAGCACUCAGGAGGUGGGAGCACUAAGUGGACCAGGAGGUGGAGAUCAGCUUGGAUAUAAAACAAAAUAAGUUAAUUAAAAUAAAUCAAAAUGGGCUGGUGAGAUGGCUCA
RNAcentral lists this long non-coding RNA (1290 nucleotides) under Mus spicilegus (steppe mouse). RNAcentral's name for it is "lncRNA (ENSMSIG00000030556.1)". The record is from RNAcentral. Lineage: Eukaryota; Metazoa; Chordata; Mammalia; Rodentia; Muridae.